This 564-nucleotide long non-coding RNA is filed under the name Calidris pugnax (ruff). RNAcentral describes it as "lncRNA (ENSCPUG00000012257.1)". The record is from RNAcentral. Lineage: Eukaryota; Metazoa; Chordata; Aves; Charadriiformes; Scolopacidae.
AAAUUAAUGCCCGUUGUAGUCUGAACAGCUUCAGCUAGAAUUAUCUCAGAAAUCAACUUGACCCAGUAUGAGAACAGAACUGUUAUUAUCAAGACCACUAGUGAUAUUUUCUCUUUUACUUCUAUUAUUAGAACUACAAUACAAACUUCAGUCCCUGUAAGAGUGAUCAAGGAGAGAUCUGUCCUCACUGAAGUCAGUCAGAUGUAUUCUUCAUCCAUGGAAGCAGAUCCUUGCACAAGGGAGGUGAUGGGACAUGCCAUGCCAGUGGGACGUGAUUAGCCAGAGGAACUGUAAGCACCUGGAGCCACUUGUCUCUCCUGGAGGACAUCAGUGCUGAGAAGAGUCAACACCCAACCUCUCCUAGGAAAGAAAGUGGAGAAACUUGCCUGCAAGGGACAACAGAAGAGAACAUGUGGGCUCGAGUCUGUGGUGGAGAAGGGAAUAUUAAACCAGGGUCUCCCCGCUCCUGAGGGCAGUAGCUCACCCAGCACUAAUGGGAACACUGCACUGCUUGUGACUCUCCACCUCCAGCUGAAAAAGACUUGUUUGCUGCUCAGUUUCUGA